CAAACAAGUACAAGAUAUUUACAAUAAGCAGACCUCAGUGCAAGAAAGUGUCGUUCCAACACUGAAAAGGUCAAAGGUGAACUUUAACAUUAAAAGGUGUUCAAACAAGUACAAGAUAUUUACAAUAAGCAGACCUCAGUGCCAGAAAGUGUCUUUCCAACACAGAAAAGGUCAAAGGUCAACUUUAACAUUAAAAGGUGUAAAAACAAGUACAAGAUAUUUACAAUAAGCAGACCUCAGUGCAAGAAAGUGUCUUUCCAACACUGAAAAGGUCAAAGGUCAACUUUAACAUUAAAAGGUGUAAAAACAAGUACAAGAUAUUUACAAUAAGCAGACCUCAGUGCAAGAAAGUGUCUUUCUAACACUGAAAAGGUCAAAGGUCAACUUUAACAUUAAAAGGUGUAAAAACAAGUACAAGAUAUUGACAAUAAGCAGACCUCAGUGCAAGAAAGUGUCUUUCCAACACUGAAAAGGUCAAAGGUCAACUUUAACAGUAAAAGGUGUAAAAACAAUUACAAGAUAUUUACAAUAAGCAGACCUCAGUGCAAGAAAGGGAGGUGGGGGGGUACUCACCUUCCACUUCACUGACACACAUCAGCAUCCAGUUCUUCAUGAGAAGAGGGGGAGGGGGAGAGGGCGAUGUACUCACCUUUAUUGACGCGCUCGGUUCCAGUGUCCCAUGCUUCAUCAGAAGAG
Molecule: long non-coding RNA, 696 nt
Organism: Oreochromis aureus
Lineage: Eukaryota; Metazoa; Chordata; Actinopteri; Cichliformes; Cichlidae
Source: Ensembl